CAAGUCCUCCUUGCGCCGCCACUAGUAUAAGACAGCACCGGAUCUCCCCAAACCUCCCUAAUUUUUUGCCAACAGCAUAUCGAUCUUGUUCUUGGCUGCGUGGUUGAGAGUGCCGAUAGUCUCCAUUCCAGAAAUUUUCGGGUUGAAUUGGAUCCCAAACCCCACUCCUCAGGAAGUCCGCCGGCCAUCGCCAUGGGCAGCCGGUUUGUGAAUCUGUUGGCCAGGAGCUGCAACGGCGGCCCCAGACACUUCAGCCUGCACCGUAUGAAUCCCGCAAAUUUGUUUCACCCAACCAGGUCAGCGGUUCCAGCGGUUCAACCGUUAGCAGAUGCUCCUCUGCCCCCCCCUGCUCUAUCCUUCGGCUGGCCCGGCAAGAAGGGCGAACUCGCGUGGAUGAAUUUCAUGGCUUUCGGCCGCACCGGGAACAAUUUUUUGGCCGUGGACCAGAUAGGCAGGACCUUCUUUUACGACACUGACUCGCGUUCGCUCCGCACUGGAAUGCCCAUGAUGUGCAAGCCCAUCAUGGACCCGAUCUCCAUUGCCGUUGGUGACAGCCUCUACGUCAUGAGCGGUAACCCUGGCCCGUCGCCUGGGAAGCAUUGCUUCCAGGCUCUCAUCCACGGCCGCCUUCCUGCAAGCGACACCAAUGAUUGGUCCUGGUAUUCGCUUCAGCCGCCACCUCCCUUCGUGAACGACAUUCCCCGCUUCCAUGAAGAUGAGGUCAAAUCCAGUUGCGGUGACGUUCCAGCCCCCUAUGAAAUCGGUGCCUACACUGUGGUUGGCGAAUCACAGAUCUGGGUAUCCACAGCAGGUGCCGGCACAUACUCGUAUGACACUGUGAGUGGUGCAUGGAGCAAGGUAGGCAACUGGUCACUGCCGUUCAGAGGCCGUGCCGAGUACAUCCCUGAGCACAACCUCUGGUUUGGCUUCACACCCAACAAUUUGCAGCUGUGCACAUCGGACCUCACUGCCUCAUCUGAGGUGAGGCCGCCCGUUCUGCAGAAUAUGUGGACAGACGUGGUCAGGCCAAAAAAUUGGACCCUGAGAGAUGCCAGCCUCGUGCCGCUGGGCUCUGGCAAAGUCUGCAUUGCCAGGUUCUUCGUAACUCAUUCAGACAACUUUGAGGAUAUGUCAGCCUAUAAGAAAAGAGAGAAUUUUGCUGUUCUCGAGGGUGUGGAAGUGUUGAAGGCUGGGUGGGCUCACCUCCGGAUGGUUAAGCACAAGUCGGAGCGUUACGUCUUCGGCCGUGACCUUGUCAUACCGCUCUGAUAAUUUCUACUUCAUAUAUGGCAGGUGAGUUCUCUUAGAUCAAAGACCAACGGCUCGCCUGUAUAUUGUCCUACUCCCUCUGUCCCAGUGACCAGCAGCUAAUGGCAAGAAAAGCGAUACUUACAAAGGCCCAUCGCCCAUGCUUCUAACGGACCUCCGGAAGCUCACCUUUGGUCACAGUUAGUAACUACAUCACAUGAAACUUCUUAGCCAAGUCUAUGUCCACCUGAAACAGGAUCUAGAUUGUAGAGCAAAGACCUGUAAAUCAUUCCAAGCUUUAAAACUGUAGGGAGCAUCAAGAACCUUGAAAUUUAUGUUGGCGGCAGGAAAUACCUAAAUAUGAAAUUUACUGUUCAGUACUAGAUCUAAUACUUCCUAAUCUCUGCAAAACGUUUAGUUGAUUAUUUUGGACCAUACCUUGUUUGGUUGAGCUAUGUGAAUGAUUCUGCAGAAUGAUCUCUGUGCACUCAAGAUCCGGGUCGCCAAUCCCAUCCUGUGAACUGUAUGUCUGCAGAUAAUUCACUGCUCAAAACCAGAGCUAACACUUUUAAUGUAUGUAAAGAAUUCUCAGGUAAUUCUGCAGUAGCUAUUACCUUUACAUUUCUGUUCUGAAUUCUAUGAGCGAUUGUUAGACAUGUAUCUCCCCAUUCAGCAUCAGGCUUGCUCUUUCCUUGGACUCCAUUAAGGAAGCACAUGUGUCUCACACAUCCCACAGAGAGUGGACAACAGGCUCCUCUACACAGGUGAUCUUCGGGUUUGAUCCAUUUCAACAUCCGGUGAUCCCAAAGAAUUUGAUAAAUUUGGCAAAGUAAUCUCCAGAACUUGAGAUGCAUUAGCCUCUGAUGAUCUUCCUUGUAUAUAUGAGACCCAUCUUCUUAAGCUUCCUUAGGUAUGACAAAACAUGACAUUCUGAAUUUCUGCAGUAAAUCAGCUGCUUUUCAGGGUCAUCUGGAUUGAACUCGCUAUCACCGUAAUAAUAAUAUUGUGUCAGCACCAGGCUGCGCAUCAUUACCCCAUCCGUCUGACCAAAUUUCAGAUCUUCUGUCAUGCCAUGCAUCAACAGCUCAAAUGCAUUGAACAGAGCUUGUCCUCGUUCAUCUUGAGGCAUAGCACUUGUAUGGAUUAGAAUAGCUGAGCCCAUGGUUUCCUCAUUUGUUCCAGCAAGUCAUACACUUCUGGUAACCGAACAGAGUUCUUACAUCCAUGAGAUAGGAUAUGAUCCAACACAUUAGCUGCUAAAAUUGUGUCGACUGCAGAGCUUGUCAAGCCUCAGCAAUGUGCCGUCAGCAAUUUGUACCCUACCAAAUUGGUCGCUGGAGAAUGAAUCAAUUGUAACAGCCAACAGAACAUUGUGGCCACCACAAAAACGGUAGCCUACAAUGCUCGGUUAAAUGGGAUUAAGUGGUACCGCAAAGAUUGGAAGUAAUCAGAUGGCAUAGAGGCCUCGGUUCACGUCGACUCGGCGCACACAGCUGGCAUGUCAGGUGAUGGCGCGAUGAAAGCUGCGUGGGGUCGUUCCACCGCGUACUGGGACGCUGAAGCUCUCUCUGGCCCACAAAUCAGUGACGUUGGUCUACCGGGGUUGGUCUAUGCAACGAAUUCCGUAUAGAAGGAAGUGCCGUGCAGCUGGAUGGCUGUGCUGGGCACUAGUUUCCCGCCAAAAUUUCAUUCGCUGGGAGGAGGUUUUUUUUUUUUUUGAGAAUAUUCACUGGGAGGAGGUGGUUUCAGUUUGUAUCCUAUCCUCCUUUUCCCAGUUCCAUUCGCUCACUUUCAAAUACUCCCUCCGUUCCUAAAUAUUUCUCUUUUUAGAGAUUUCAAAUGUACUACCACAUACGGAUGUAUAUAGACAUAUUUUAGAGUAGAUUCACUCAUUUUG
Molecule: RNA transcript, 3145 nt
Organism: Triticum aestivum (bread wheat)
Lineage: Eukaryota; Viridiplantae; Streptophyta; Magnoliopsida; Poales; Poaceae
Exons: 3
Source: RefSeq, a predicted model, not a curated record